AUUGAAUUUCUCCAUGACCCACUUCAAGUAUCAGUUCAAGACUAUGGAUUACAAUCACAGCAGAGAUUUAUCCUCAAAGGCAAACAAUAAUAAGCCAGCUUGGCUGCUAUAUAACGACAAUGACUCUGGAUUUAUUGCUGCAAGAGGAAUGAAUUCUUAUUUCAAGAGGCCACAAGAUACUUUGGACAAAGUUGAGACUAUAAACUCAGAAAACUUGGAGAUGAGGUUUAAUGUGGCCACCUGCUGGGUGAACCUGUGUAAACUUAACUUUUUAGGCUGGUAUUUAUUCAAACAGCUGUAUAUUAUGUUGAAACUAAUAUUAUUUCAUUUUGUAAUAGCCC
RNAcentral lists this long non-coding RNA (341 nucleotides) under Equus caballus (horse). Its description in RNAcentral is "lncRNA (ENSECAG00000046194.1)". The record is from RNAcentral. Lineage: Eukaryota; Metazoa; Chordata; Mammalia; Perissodactyla; Equidae.